CAUUUGUACUAACAAACAAUAAAGGCUAUCGAAAUCUUCUCAUGGACGGCUACAAAUUCACAUUAAAAUACGGCACUUUUGGUAAGAAAAUGCGCUGGAGUUGUUCGAAACAGAGCUAUAGAGGUUGCAAAGUUGCCAUAAUUACGCACAACGAUAAAAUAAUUUCUAUCGUAAACGAACACAAUCACCCACCCGACCUGAAGUUUACAUAAAUUUUAAGGUCACAAGACGCAUAAAAAGGCGCAACAUCUCACAUUAGAUGGAUAUAGAUAUGGUUUACAAAUGAUAAGUAACUUAGGAAAAGGCAGAUGGAGAUGUGUAAAGCAGAGGAAGGGAUGUAAAGCUGUAGUGGUCACGAUAGAUGACACUGUCAUUGCUGUUAAAAGUAAUCAUAACCAUCCUCCAUAGAUUGAGGGUUACCUUUAGGAAAAGACUUUGUACAGUAAUUAUAUCAUGGGUAUAUAUCUCUGUAUAUACAUUUAUAUUUCUGUAUAUAAAAUUAGCAUAUAAAUUGACCAUUUAAAUACUAUUAAAGUGAUAAUAUUACUGGGAUAAUAUUAGCGUAUUGAAUUUAAUUUUUAAUAAGAGCUUCCAGUUUUUAAUUUAACAUUUUUUUUAAACUAUUUUUAAUUAAAAAAUUUUCAUCUUUUAAAUGUUAAUGUAUUUUUCAUUAUACUUAAUAUAUUAAGUUGUUUAGAAUAAAAAUUAUUGCUUACAGCGUGUUAACUGUACAUAAAUUUGCUUAACCAAAUUUCGAGCUUACGUUACUAGAUUAUUUAUAAGGAAUUCUAUUUAAAAUUGUAAUUUUACAAAUUAACGAAAGAAUUUAAUGUAUGUUGAAUUGGUAUUUUUAUUACAUAUUGUUAUUUCUUAAGGUUAAUUUAAGGUUGUCUUGAAAAGAUUGCUCUCAGCAAUAAGACCGCUUUACUAUACUUAUACAAUUGUAUCGUUAUAUUUGUUAAUUGUCUUGCUUAUUCCCGAUAUUGUAUAAUGCAAAUAAAGUAUACUCAUUCA
Molecule: long non-coding RNA, 1014 nt
Organism: Galleria mellonella (greater wax moth)
Lineage: Eukaryota; Metazoa; Arthropoda; Insecta; Lepidoptera; Pyralidae
Exons: 2
Source: RefSeq, a predicted model, not a curated record